This 72-nucleotide transfer RNA is filed under the name Marmota monax (woodchuck). RNAcentral's name for it is "tRNA.Ala". The record is from RNAcentral. Lineage: Eukaryota; Metazoa; Chordata; Mammalia; Rodentia; Sciuridae.
UGGGUGGUGGCUCAGUGGUAGAGCGCUCGCCUAGCACAAGCAAGACCCUGGAUUCGAUCCUCAGCACCCCAU